Long non-coding RNA from Ostrea edulis (European flat oyster), 844 nucleotides. RefSeq lists it as uncharacterized. The record is from RefSeq and is a predicted model, not a curated record. The transcript has 3 exons. Lineage: Eukaryota; Metazoa; Mollusca; Bivalvia; Ostreida; Ostreidae.
AUGAAGUCUUAUACACUGGGUUUCCACUGGUCGAUUGUAUAACUUUUUACUGAUCGUCUUUUGGUUACGUGUUGACCUGGGGACGAGUCAGUCAGUGUACGACCUGACGUUCACGCAAGUGAUCAAAGCGCUUUUUUUUCAAUGUUCCUUUCUGGGCGCGAAGUCAGGGAAAUAUUCGCAAGGAUGGAGAACAUUCAACAGAAUCAGUAUGCAAUCAAGCAUGGAAUGGAUUCCAGAUAGGAAUAUAGGAUUCACCUUACACUCAGAAACUGGGGGAUAGGCCUAGUUGUUCAAAAUACACGGCGUUGCUGCAUGGACUUGAAGAGAUAGUUAUGAAUUUAGAAUAUCAUCAAGUGACUUAAUAAGGCACUGUUUUCAGUGGAUGAACCGACAUCAUGCAGUGUGACAGGAAAACGCCCGUGAGACCAAAGAUGGCUUAGAUAAAAGGGAAGACGAUGCAGAAGCCUCUGUACCAGAGAAAAAUCCAGAGAUGGCCCUCAAAGAAGUUAGAAACAAGAUGAGAGACCGUCUCAAGUUGUUUAGGUCUGGAGCCACCUUCCCCCACCCACGAGUCGAAGAAAUAGAUCUUUGAACCAGGUUACCCGUGACAUCAAGAUAAACAAAAUUCAACUUCAGGGACAAUUUGAUAAUACCUGUUUAAAAUUUUUUUUUUAGCUCACCUGGGCCGAAGGUUCAAGUGAGCUUUUCUGAUCAAAAUUUGUUCGUUGUCUGUCGUCGGCGAAAACUUUUCACAUUUUCAUCUUCUCCAGAACCACUGGGUCAAUUUCAACCAAACUAAGUGACACAAAGCACCCUUGGGUGAAAGGCUUUCAAGUUUGUUCAA